Amphimedon queenslandica is the source of this 351-nucleotide long non-coding RNA. RefSeq lists it as uncharacterized. NCBI's taxonomy places the organism in Eukaryota, Metazoa, Porifera, Demospongiae, Haplosclerida, Niphatidae. The transcript is spliced from 3 exons. The record is from RefSeq and is a predicted model, not a curated record.
ACAAAAAUCCGCCAUUUUACCACCAACUCAGGUGCGCGUUAAUUAGAAAAUUUUCAUUGAAUAAGGUCCAUUCUAUGAGGAACAGCUUCAAAGAGAAGUAAAAGAGAAGGAGCAGAUACAGCAAGAUAGAGACAAAGAGCAGCAACAGCUUCUUCAAGAAGAGGCAACACUUUUUAGUCAGCAACUUGAUGAUGCUACCACUCUCCUUGAUAAAUCAACUCAGAGUUGAAUUCGAAUGUUAUAAGAAGCUCAAAAUUAAAGAUGCUCAAUUAUUGGAAGAGAAGACACAAGUAGAGAAGAAGAAACAGAUUGUGACUGAGGAAAAUGAGAAACUGAAACUCAAAGUAGCUG